UCCGGGGAGAAAUAAGGCUGAGAACAUGUCGGGACCCCCCUUUGGACAAACAGUGAGACGAACUCUAUAUCCUAUCAUUCCCAAUAAAUAUAACAAUAAAUACAUACAAUAAUAAUAUAAUUCAGACACGAUACCUGAAAUAGAAUAGUGUUCGUACAUAUAACCUCAGUCACACAAUUAUCCAGACUUAAACGGCAGCGACCGCGAACGAAGUAAAACUGAGAAAGUACAGUCUGGAUAAUGAGAAAAGAAUAAUCAUAGCUUUACAUAAAGCUUUACAUAAAUAUACUUGUCAUCCUUAACCCUUACCC
Molecule: long non-coding RNA, 311 nt
Filed under: Mytilus galloprovincialis (Mediterranean mussel)
Lineage: Eukaryota; Metazoa; Mollusca; Bivalvia; Mytilida; Mytilidae
Source: RNAcentral